UGGCGGACGGGUGAGUAACGCGUGGGUAACCUGCCCCAUACAGGGGGAUAACAGCCGGAAACGGCUGCUAAUACCGCAUGCACAUGCGGGGGCGCAUGCCCCUGCAUGGAAAGCUUUCGCGGUAUGGGAUGGGCCCGCGUCUGAUUAGGCAGUUGGCGGGGUAACGGCCCACCAAACCGACGAUCAGUAGCCGGCCUGAGAGGGCAACCGGCCACAUUGGGACUGAGACACGGCCCAAACUCCUACGGGAGGCAGCAG
This 258-nucleotide ribosomal RNA is filed under the name uncultured bacterium. Its description in RNAcentral is "partial 16S ribosomal RNA". It matches the Rfam family "Bacterial small subunit ribosomal RNA", at positions 96 to 354 of the family's 1533-position model. The record is from RNAcentral.